Molecule: long non-coding RNA, 2499 nt
Organism: Hyla sarda
Lineage: Eukaryota; Metazoa; Chordata; Amphibia; Anura; Hylidae
Exons: 3
Source: RefSeq, a predicted model, not a curated record
CAGCGUAAAAUUAACAGAUGUAUUUUAUUUUUUGUAUGCUUUUUUUCACCUGGAAAAAAACUGUAAAUGGUACAAUAAAUGGUGUCAUGGAAAAACUCAUCCAGCAAAAACACAUUGAUGGAAAAAUGAAAAGUGAAUUUUUUUGGGAUAAACUGUUGCCAAAUAGUGUUGUGGUAGAGUUCAAAUUUGCUAAUUUUUGGUGCACUUUGGUUUUCUCUAUAAACGGCAGCAUAAUCUUGGUGAAUCAUAUCUUAAAAGGGCUGACCCACCUCGGCAAAUAGCUUCUUCCUGCUCCUCCGGCCUUUUUACAACAACUAGAAGUGGUCGCAAAAUCUGAAAGCAGCCAAAGCAAGCAGGUUUACGUAACUCCCAUCAACUUUUAUGGACGUAAGGCAAACGGUGAGGCCCCACCGAAAAAUCUUUGAGGUUAAAGAGACCUAUCUGUGAUCAUUGAGUGGUGUUUAUCAAGGAAAUUCUGGUAAAUUAUAUAAAAAAAAGUCACAUAAUUUUUGUGCAACGAAGGUCCUUAUGCACAAAUGAUGUAACUUUUUGAUUAUCUCUGUAGGACUGCACAAAAUUUCACAGUUUACGCUUUAUGCCAGCAAGUGUAAACUGGGCUUGAAAUCUUUGCCAGGUCAGAGUGAAGAGUGCAGACAGCCCUGAUGCGCAGAGGUGUAUGUAGAGGUGCACACCACUACAUAGAUCCCGGGGGCCUAUGUGCUGAUGGGGCAUUUAUUUAGCCCGUCAGCGGAGAUGACGAUCUUGAUAAAUGGACUCAUAGUCUUAGUCUAGUUUGAAGGGUGUAUCUGGCCUAGAUGUCAGAUAGGAGGUGGUCCGUCACCUGACAACUCACUGAUCAGCUGUCUGAUGAAUGCUUGUGUGAGUUCCGCAGCCUCCCCUGCCUGUUUGGAAAUUGCAGUACUUUUAUUAGCAGCAGUGCAUGGAACUGCAGCAUUUUCCCGAUCACCUAACGUGUCCAUCAUUUCUAAAACCUUUUGACACGUCAUUGUCAAAAGCUUUGAUUGGUUGGGGUCUCAGUGAUGAACCCCACUGAUCAGAAAAUAAGCAUACUUCACUCCUUGGCUCACAACGAGUGCUGCAAGCCGGAGAGUGAAGCACCCUACUGAGCUAUUACUCGUUCUCCUGAAAAGUAGAGGUCACAUCACUCACACCUUGCAUCACCGCUAUAUAUAGUACAGUGAUUGCUGGACAAGCACUGCGGCCUCCGCUGAAUGGUGAGUGGCCAGGUGUCCAAUCACCUCUGACCUGAUAAUGAUUACCGGUUCUUAUGGGUCAUCUCAUUUAUUAUCAGAUCCCAUACAUAGUGAGAAGCAUUCCCACAACCCUAGGCAGCUGGUAGUCUGGCAGGGAAAGGGUGAAGCGCGCGGAGCAGCCACACCUAGUAACCCCAGGCGCUGUACCAAGGAUCCAUCAGCCAGGCUCACCUCACUCACUGCAUCACUGCAUUCAAGCCUCAUGUUACUCAGGCAACCAGGAGGGCAGAGGCUGUCAGGUCCCUGGUUACCAUGAGGAAUGCCUAGCACAGGAAGGCAGGGCAGCCUGCAGGAGGGGCACAUUCCACCCUGACCCACUUUCCCUCCCUUCACCUCCAAGGAGACAGGCAAAGCACCACUUCUCAUUCCUCCACACCCCACAGGAAGGGGAGGGAGUGAGGAGAUAGCUCAGCGCAACCAAGCAUGUGUCCUGUGUGAGGGGCACCGCAAUGUGACCCCCGCUAACCAAUCCUAGCGCCCCGCACUGCGUGCAGUUUACACUACGACACCUAUUAUUAGCGGGGCCAGGGCGCAUGCGCCGGGCGGCAUCCCCGGGCUCCGAGUCCUCGUGCAGUGAGCCGGGUACCAGGCCGCAGAAUGUGGUGGAGCCGAGGACAGCUCCCUCCCCCUCCUCACAGUCACAUGAGCUGAACACCUGUUUGCCCUGAGAAGAGGGGGAACACUAACGUCAUUGGGAAUAUUGUGAAAAUUGAUGGCAAUAUGAAUGCAGCAUCAUCUCUCUCCAAUGAAAGUUGCACUUUGGAUGCUUCUGGACUUUCCAGCACAACGAUGACUGUAAGCACAAGGCUAAGUUGACCCUUCAAUGGUUACAGCAGAAAAAGGUCAGUAAUUGAAAUAAAUGCUUAGUUCUUGUGAGGGAAAGGAAGAACAGGAGAAAAGUGGUCUCUGGCAGACAUGUAAAGCAUGGAAAAUUCAUUGAGAGGAUAGCUGGGAAAAGGAGAGAUGGCAAGGAGUUCAAUAGAGAUUUCCUUCAGGACCUAGUCUAGAUACAGAUUUAUCCAGACUACCUCUUAUCCUGGAAAGAGAUGUUGAGAAUUUGCUUAUUGUAACAAAAAUACACUAGAGACUAAAAUAGACUUGUAAACAGUGUGACAACUAGUCCACAUUGCCAAAUACUGUAAAUGUAAAAUCCAGACUCCCUGGGGACUGGUUAGACCAGCAUGAGAUAAUUCUUUGUAAAAGACCUAUAAAACAAAGUGGCUCC